Molecule: small nucleolar RNA, 132 nt
Organism: Catharus ustulatus (Swainson's thrush)
Lineage: Eukaryota; Metazoa; Chordata; Aves; Passeriformes; Turdidae
Source: Ensembl
CUGCACUGCCUUUGACCCGGCGGGGCCCGCCUGGCGCCGCCGGCCAAGCAGCGGUGCUACAGCAAAGCGCUUGUUCAUAACUGGCGCUGCUCGGCCCCACCCGGGCGGUGCUUUUAAAAACAAGUGACAAUU